Molecule: ribosomal RNA, 490 nt
Filed under: uncultured bacterium
Lineage: Bacteria
Description: partial 16S ribosomal RNA
Rfam family: Bacterial small subunit ribosomal RNA
Source: RNAcentral
AUUGAACGCUGGCGGCAGGCCUAACACAUGCAAGUCGAACGGUAACAGAAAGCAGCUUGCUGCUUUGCUGGCGGGUGGCGGGAGGGUGAGCAAUGUCUGGGCAACUGUCUGAUGGAGGGGGAUAACUACUGGAAACGGUAGCUACUACCGCAUAACGGCGCAAGACCAAAGAGGGGGACAUUCGGGCCUCUUGCCAGCGGAUGCGCCCAGAUGGGAUUUGCUAGUAGGUGGGGUAACGGCUCACCUAGGCGACGAUCCCUACCCGGUCUGAGAGGAUGCCCAGCCACACUGGAACUGGGACACGGUCCAGGCUCCUACGGGAGGCAGCAGUGGGGAAUAUUGCGCAAUGGGGGGAAGCCUGAUGCAGCCAUGGCGCGUGUAUGGAGAAAGCCUUCGGGUUGGAAAGUACUUUUAGGGGGGAGGAAGGGAGUAAAGUUAAUACCUUUGCUGAUUGACGGUACCCGCCAAAGAAGCACCGGCUAACUCCGUG